UAGCGGCAGGCCUAACACAUGCAAGUCGAGGGGCAGCAUUUCCAGCUUGCUGGAAGAUGGCGACCGGCGCACGGGUGCGCAACGCGUAUGGAACCUGCCCGCUGCAGGGGAAUAGCCCGGGGAAACCCGGAUUAAUGCCCCGUAGUACCGUUACACGGCAUCGUGUACCGGUUAGAGCCUACGGGCGGCAGCGGAUGGCCAUGCGUACCAUUAGCUGGUUGGUAAGGUAACGGCUUACCAAAGCUACGAUGGUUAGGGGCCCUGAGAGGGGGAUCCCCCACACUGGUACUGAGACACGGACCAGACUCCUACGGGAGGCAGCAGUGAGGAAUAUUGGACAAUGGGCGGGAGCCUGAUCCAGCCAUGCCGCGUGCAGGAUGAC
RNAcentral lists this ribosomal RNA (382 nucleotides) under uncultured alveolate. RNAcentral describes it as "partial Bacterial small subunit ribosomal RNA". It matches the Rfam family "Bacterial small subunit ribosomal RNA", at positions 37 to 412 of the family's 1533-position model. The record is from RNAcentral.